AAAGUGAGAUACAAAUCGAGGAUCUCGGUCUGAUACUGUAAUGUAUCAGAUUUUAAUAUAAAAAUAAGUGUAAAUAAAAAUAGUGUAAGAUACUAUUUUUAUUGGACUUAAAGAAGUGAAAUAUAAGUCUGGAAUGACUUAUGUUGAAAUCGGAACGAAAACAAAAGAUUUAGAAUUUUCUGUAAGGAAUGGGACUGAUAUUUUAGCAAAAAAUUUACAGCGUCAGAAAAUUAUGAAAAUCUGGAAAUACGUCGGGAUUAUUUUUAUGAGACUAUAUUUAAAGUUUAAUGUCAUUCCGACACUUGGAAAGUGAAAAAUAAAAUCCGACUGCUAUCUGUUAGAGAUUUUUAGUCGGUAGGACUUUCGGUGACCAAAAGUGGUCGAAACUGAAAGAUUAAGAUAUCUUUUUUUUGUUUAGCUGAAACAGAGCCUGGCUGUCAAAUUUGAGAGAAAACGGACAUUUAGAAGGGCUCCGGCGAAAAGGAACAGAUUCUGAACUGCUAAAUUGCUAAUUGUACUAGUGUUAAUGUUGGAGGUUGACUAUAAAAAGG
This 551-nucleotide long non-coding RNA is filed under the name Ananas comosus (pineapple). RNAcentral describes it as "long non-coding RNA (ACOM_LNC002050)". The record is from RNAcentral. Lineage: Eukaryota; Viridiplantae; Streptophyta; Magnoliopsida; Poales; Bromeliaceae.